CUGGCGGCGUGCCUAACACAUGCAAGUCGCACGAGAAAGUGGAGCAAUCCAUGAGUAAAGUGGCGAACGGGUGAGUAACACGUGACUACCUGCCCUCGAGUGGGGAAUAACUUCGGGAAACCGAGGCUAAUACCGCAUAACAUCGAGAGAUCAAAGCAGCAAUGCGCUUGAGGAGGGGGUCGCGUCUGAUUAGCUAGUUGGUAGGGUAACGGCCUACCAAGGCGAUGAUCAGUAGCCGGCCUGAGAGGGCGCACGGCCACACUGGAACUGAAACACGGUCCAGACUCCUACGGGAGGCAGCAGUGGGGAAUUUUGCGCAAUGGGGGAAACCCUGACGCAGCAACGCCGCGUGGAGGAUGAAGUCCCUUGGGACGUAAACUCCUUUCGAUCGGGACGAUUAUGACGGUACCGGAAGAAGAAGCCCCGGCUAACUUCGUGCCAGCAGCCGCGGUAAUACGAGGGGGGCAAGCGUUGUUCGGAAUUAUUGGGCGUAAAGGGCGCGUANGCGGUGCGGUAAGUCUGAUGUGAAAUCUCCGGGCUCAACUCGGAGUCUGCAUCAGAAACUGCCGUGCUG
RNAcentral lists this ribosomal RNA (574 nucleotides) under uncultured bacterium. RNAcentral's name for it is "bacterial SSU rRNA". It matches the Rfam family "Bacterial small subunit ribosomal RNA", at positions 36 to 643 of the family's 1533-position model. The record is from RNAcentral.